Molecule: ribosomal RNA, 253 nt
Filed under: uncultured bacterium
Lineage: Bacteria
Description: partial 16S ribosomal RNA
Rfam family: Bacterial small subunit ribosomal RNA
Source: RNAcentral
UACGAAGGGGGCUAGCGUUGUUCGGAAUUACUGGGCGUAAAGGGCUCGUAGGCGGCCAACUAAGUCGGAUGUGAAAUCCCCAGGCUUAACUUGGGAACUGCAUCCGAUACUGGAUGGCUUGAAUCCGGGAGAGGGAUGCGGAAUUCCAGGUGUAGCGGUGAAAUGCGUAGAUAUCUGGAGGAACACCGGUUGCGAAGGCGGCAUCCGGGACCGUCAUUGACGCUGAUGAGCGAAAGCCAGGGGAGCAAACGGG